RNAcentral lists this ribosomal RNA (253 nucleotides) under uncultured bacterium. RNAcentral's name for it is "partial 16S ribosomal RNA". It matches the Rfam family "Bacterial small subunit ribosomal RNA", at positions 524 to 776 of the family's 1533-position model. The record is from RNAcentral.
UACGAAGGGGGCGAGCGUUGUUCGGAUUUACUGGGCGUAAAGGGCGUGUAGGCGGUUGGUCAAGUCCGAUGUGAAAGCCCGGGGCUCAGCUUCGGAAGUGCAUCGGAAACUAGCCAGCUGGAGCGCGAUAGAGGAGGGCGGAAUUCCUGGUGUAGCGGUGAAAUGCGUAGAUAUCAGGAGGAACACCGGCGGCGAAGGCGGCCCUCUGGAUCGUUGCUGACGCUGAGACGCGAAAGCGUGGGGAGCAAACAGG